AAUCUAAAACCUUAAGACAAGGUAGGAGAUAAUUUGGGGAUAAUUUGCAACCUUUUUAUAUAUUUGGGAUAGUUUUGUGUUCUUCCCUUCGUCACAAUGGUAGGGGAAUUAUCAAUGUUGAAUGAAAUAUCACACUAAGUCUUUCUCAAUUCUCAAGGAUAUAUCAAAUUUAUGGAUAGUACGUAGUUUGUGGUCACGAGGUUCAUCAAUUUGAGGAAGCAAUCCAGUAAUAUCAAUUUUUUGGUGCGAGUAGUUCAGAGAUUACUACAGAAGAAUUUCAAAGGAACUCUAACAAGUCUGUCACAAGUAAUGGGAGAAGAAGAAACUUUGCAUGAUUUUUUUGGUUCAAAUAACAAAGAUUAUUUGAAUUGCUUAGAGAUGAAAGUGAAGAUUUGUAUGAAGGAUCCAAGCACUUAAAGUUGGAAUUUUUAUUAAAGCUUUAUCACAUAAAGUGCUUGUCUAGGUUAAGUGAUAAAGAAAUGACUAUGGUGCUAGAUCUACUUAGGGUGCAUUUAAAUUUGUAAAGAUCUCUAUAUCUUUUUAUGAGACUAAGAAAACCAUCCACAAGUUUUGUCUUGAUUAUAUCAAGAUAGAUUCUUGCCUAAAUGAUUGUAUUUUGUACUGGGAAGAUGAUGUUAAUACAAAAUCAUGCUAGCAUUGUCACACUUAUAGAUGGAAACCCUAGACGGAUAGCAAUCUUGGUCAUGCUCCUAGUACAACUAAGAAACAAAAGAAGAAGCAAAAGAAGUCUGCCAAAGUUUUGCACAACUUUCCAUUAAAACCAAGAUUACAAAGAUUAUUUAUGCUCUCUAAAAUUGCAAAGCAUAUGAGAUGGCAUGUAGAGGAUGAUAACAAAGAUAGGAUCUUAAGGCACCCUCAAGAUGGUGAAGCAUAGAAAAAUCUUGAUACAAAUUAUCCUGAAUUUGCUUCUGAUCCUUGAAAUGUUUGAUUAGGUCUAGCUAGUAAUGGUUUCAAUCCCUUUGAAGCAAUGAGUACUAACUAUGGCAUUUGGCCAGUGGUUUUGUUCCCAUACAAUCUUCCUCCUUGGUUGUGUAUGAAGCAACUAAAUUUUCUCCUUUCAAUGAUUAUUCCAUGUCCACGUACAAUAGGGAAUAACAUAGAUAUAUAUCUACAACCACAUAUUAAGGAGUUGAAUAAGUUGUGGAGUAAAGGUGUGGAUAAUUUUAAUUCAUUAAAAAAUGAAAUGUUCAAAAUGCAAAUAGCUUAUAUGUGGAUAGUUGGCAAUUUUCCUGGACUUGAUAUCUUAUCUUGUUGGAAUACGCAUACUGGUCUUGCAUGUCCUUCUUGUAAUUUUGAUGGAGAACUUUGUCGACUUUGUCAUAUUAGAAAGUGGUGUUUUAUUGGCCACCAUCGAUUCUUGAUAAA
Molecule: long non-coding RNA, 1386 nt
Organism: Capsicum annuum
Lineage: Eukaryota; Viridiplantae; Streptophyta; Magnoliopsida; Solanales; Solanaceae
Exons: 4
Source: RefSeq, a predicted model, not a curated record